AUUGAACGCUGGCGGCAGGCCUAACACAUGCAAGUCGAGCGGAUGAAGGGAGCUUGCUCCUGGAUUCAGCGGCGGACGGGUGAGUAAUGCCUAGGAAUCUGCCUGGUAGUGGGGGAUAACGUCCGGAAACGGGCGCUAAUACCGCAUACGUCCUGAGGGAGAAAGUGGGGGAUCUUCGGACCUCACGCUAUCAGAUGAGCCUAGGUCGGAUUAGCUAGUUGGUGGGGUAAAGGCCUACCAAGGCGACGAUCCGUAACUGGUCUGAGAAGAUGAUCAGUCACAAUGGAACUGAGACACGGUCCAGACCCCUAAGGGAGGCAGCAUUGGGGAAUAUUGGACAAUGGGCGAAAGCCUGAUCCAGCCAUGCCGCGUGUGUGAAGAAGGUCUUCGGAUUGUAAAGCACUUUAAGUUGGGAGGAAGGGCAGUAAGUUAAUACCUUGCUGUUUUGACGUUACCAACAGAAUAAGCACCGGCUAACUUCGUG
Molecule: ribosomal RNA, 484 nt
Filed under: uncultured bacterium
Lineage: Bacteria
Description: partial 16S ribosomal RNA
Rfam family: Bacterial small subunit ribosomal RNA
Source: RNAcentral